Long non-coding RNA from Pelmatolapia mariae (spotted tilapia), 362 nucleotides. RefSeq lists it as uncharacterized. The record is from RefSeq and is a predicted model, not a curated record. Lineage: Eukaryota; Metazoa; Chordata; Actinopteri; Cichliformes; Cichlidae. The transcript has 3 exons.
UGUUGUUUUAUAAACCAGAUGUGACAGCAGUGUGCACCCAUUUACUGCGAGGCCUCCCUGGUGAUGAUCCAUCCUACUAACAUCUACAACACUGCACUUCAGGAUUUCUGACAGGAGGAGAGACACCAGCACAAAGAGGAGCCGGGAAAGCACUGAUUCACAGCUGACCUCGUUCAUAGAGAGAAGAGUGAUUUAACCUACCUCAGUUACUGGACACAGCUUGAUUUAUAACAACUGAAAUGGUUUGUGACAGUGAUGACACCUGGGCACAAGUAUCUGUUGGAGUGCUGGCUUUCAUCGAUUAAGCUGUGCCUUUCUGUCCCAUCGCCACUUUAAUCCAGUGUCUGCUGACGUUAUUAUCA